Molecule: ribosomal RNA, 372 nt
Filed under: uncultured organism
Description: partial 16S ribosomal RNA
Rfam family: Bacterial small subunit ribosomal RNA
Source: RNAcentral
GUAGGUGGCAAGCGUUGUCCGGAAUUAUUGGGCGUAAAGCGCGCGCAGGCGGUUCUUUAAGUCUGAUGUGAAAGCCCACGGGCUCAACCGUGGAGGGUCAUUGGAAACUGGAGAACUUGAGUACAGAAGAGGAAAGCGGAAUUCCACGUGUAGCGGUGAAAUGCGUAGAGAUGUGGAGGAACACCAGUGGCGAAGGCGGCUUUCUUGUCUGUAACUGACGCUGAGGCGCGAAAGCGUGGGGAGCAAACAGGAUUAGAUACCCUGGUAGUCCACGCCGUAAACGAUGAGUGCUAAGUGUUAGGGGGUUUCCGCCCCUUAGUGCUGCAGCUAACGCAUUAAGCACUCCGCCUGGGGAGUACGGCCGCAAGGCUG